RNAcentral lists this ribosomal RNA (253 nucleotides) under uncultured bacterium. Its description in RNAcentral is "partial 16S ribosomal RNA". It matches the Rfam family "Bacterial small subunit ribosomal RNA", at positions 524 to 776 of the family's 1533-position model. The record is from RNAcentral.
UACGUAGGGUGCAAGCGUUAAUCGGAAUUACUGGGCGUAAAGCGUGCGCAGGCGGUUAUGCAAGACAGAUGUGAAAUCCCCGGGCUCAACCUGGGAACUGCAUUUGUGACUGCACAGCUAGAGUACGGUAGAGGGGGAUGGAAUUCCGCGUGUAGCAGUGAAAUGCGUAGAUAUGCGGAGGAACACCGAUGGCGAAGGCAAUCCCCUGGACCUGUACUGACGCUCAUGCACGAAAGCGUGGGGAGCAAACAGG